RNAcentral lists this long non-coding RNA (931 nucleotides) under Coturnix japonica (Japanese quail). RNAcentral describes it as "lncRNA (ENSCJPG00005016627.1)". The record is from RNAcentral. Lineage: Eukaryota; Metazoa; Chordata; Aves; Galliformes; Phasianidae.
AUGACAAAAUGUCGUACUUCAGAGCAGAAUUUACCAUGGAAAGGAAUGAAGUGGAGAUGCAGAAUAAAUCUCACCUUCUCCUUUGUUUAUUACAAAAACAGUCCAUCUUUCCCACCAGCUUUACUUUGCAGGUGCAUCCUGAGAUGCUGUACCCGAGCAAACAGAGGGCUGCAAUACACCCAAGCCUCAGGGGCAGAGAAGCUGUUUGUACUCAGCUACACUCUGCAGUCGGCGUGGACUGACUUAGCAUGUGAAGCUCGUAACCGUGCUGUGUCAUUAGCUGCCUGCGGACACAGUAGAGAUGAAGGGUUGCAAAGUUCCCGAUUCAAUAAAAUACUCGAGGAACGUGACGCAUCAGAAAGCCUUCCCUGUGCUGAGCAACCCCGGAUCGCGGUGCCAUCGCAGUCUCUCCCCUCGCCGGGCGGUUGCGGGUUGGCCGCCAGAGGGCGCUUUGUUCCUGCACGGCGCGGGCGGAGGCGGAGCGAGGCGGGGCGCGGCCCGGCAUGCAGCGCGGCGCCGUUUGAAUGGCGCAGGCUGUGGGCGCUGGCUCCGGGUUGUAGCUUCCUGUCACAGUGUCUCCUGUCGGCGUGGGCCGUCCGGUACCAUGAGCGGCAGGUUCAUGUAACUUUUGGAUGUACACCGUCCAUUUCUGCGGGUCUGUUGCUGUUCAUUUUGCUUGUGUUCACUGCUGCUACUUUGUCUUUAGAUAUCCCCAACAAAACAAGGAAUCAACUUUUCUUUGCAUGAAAGAGGAGGGAAUUUGAGAUGAUUUAUUAAACAGGCAAGUAAGAAGUAACUGUUCAGGGCAGAAUUGUGUAAGCUGUCACUGUCACAGCGAUAGUUGCAAAAAUGAUUCUUCAGGAGCUGACGUUAAGGACCUUCUUGGAUCUGACAAGCUGAUUCUGUGGGAUUUAACUUCAGUAGCAGCUGG